RNAcentral lists this transfer RNA (69 nucleotides) under Oides maculatus. RNAcentral describes it as "tRNA-Gln". Lineage: Eukaryota; Metazoa; Arthropoda; Insecta; Coleoptera; Chrysomelidae. The record is from RNAcentral.
UAUACUUAAAUAUUUGAUGUAUAUUAAUUUUUGAUAUUAAAAGAGAUAGUUUAAUUCUGUCAAGUAUAU